AGUCGUAACAAGGUUUCCGUAGGUGAACCUGCGGAAGGAUCAUUAAAAAGUUGUGGAAAUCGUGGUGACCUCUAUUGGUGAGCCGCGAUUCUCUCCUUUUUGUGAAAUGUUCUGAGGGAUUGCUCCAGAUCUCUCGACCUUUUAUUUUACAUAUUUGAUUGACUGUUGUUUAACAAAUUGAAAGUUUUGGAUCAGAAAUGAUUCAAGACGAUAAAAUUUCAAAACAACUUUAAGCAAUGGAUCACUUGGUUCUCGCAUCGAUGAAGAGCGUAGCAAAUUGCGAAAAGUAAUGCGAUCUGCAGCCUUUGCGAAUCAUCGAAUUCUCGAACGCACCUUGCACCCUUUGGUUCAUCCAUUGGGUACGUCUAGUUCAGUAUCUUUAUUAACCCCUAAAGGUUUAUUUUUUGAUAAAUCUUUGGAUUUGCGGUGCUGAUGGAUUUUCAUCCGUUCAAGCUACCCGAACAAUUUGUAUGUUGUUGACCCUUGAUAUUUCCUUGAGGGCUUGCAUUGGUAUCUAAUUUUUUACCAGUGUGCUUCGAGAUGAUCAAGUAUAUAAGGUCAAUCAACCACAAAUAAAUUUCAACUAUGGAUCUGAACUUAGAUGGGAUUACCCGCUGAACUUAAGCAUAUCAAUAAGCGGAGGA
This 644-nucleotide unclassified non-coding RNA is filed under the name Rhizopus microsporus var. rhizopodiformis. RNAcentral describes it as "sequence contains 18S rRNA gene, ITS1, 5.8S rRNA gene, ITS2, 28S rRNA gene". The stretch from base 226 to 379 matches the Rfam family "5.8S ribosomal RNA". Lineage: Eukaryota; Fungi; Mucoromycota; Mucoromycetes; Mucorales; Rhizopodaceae. The record is from RNAcentral.